Molecule: long non-coding RNA, 312 nt
Organism: Tyto alba (common barn owl)
Lineage: Eukaryota; Metazoa; Chordata; Aves; Strigiformes; Tytonidae
Exons: 3
Source: RefSeq, a predicted model, not a curated record
AAAAGGGGGGGUUCAGAUGAAUCUGCACUUUGGUCAUUAAAGGACCUUUCGCAAGAUUCUUCAUAUCUCAGCUUCUGAAUGAAACUUGGGGUGUGGAGAAGCGUCUUCCCGAGGAAGGGCCUGUGUGAAUGCUUUACAAAUACUUUGACAAUAUCUGAGAUUUGUACCUAAUCAUCUGUCUCUGGACACUGCGGCUGUAGGGAAAACACCAAAGAGCGCAACGCUUGUCACGAAAGGAGGGAAAAAACUCAGACAUUUCUCUUCAACAGCAACACGUAAUGCUGGGCAAAGGGCUGGCGGAUGAGGUGCUUC